Molecule: ribosomal RNA, 253 nt
Filed under: uncultured bacterium
Lineage: Bacteria
Description: partial 16S ribosomal RNA
Rfam family: Bacterial small subunit ribosomal RNA
Source: RNAcentral
UACGUAGGGAGCAAGCGUUGUCCGGAAUCAUUGGGCGUAAAGCGCGCGUAGGUGGCCUCGUAAGUCCGCUGUGAAAGUCAAAGGCUCAACCUUUGAAAGCCGGUGGAUACUGUGAGGCUAGAGUACGGAAGAGGCGAGUGGAAUUCCUGGUGUAGCGGUGGAAUGCGCAGAUAUCAGGAGGAACACCGGUGGCGAAGGCGGAUCUCUGGGCCUUACCUGACGCUGAGGCGCGAAAGCUAGGGGAGCGAACAGG